GAUGAACGCUCUCGGCGCGCCUAACACAUGCAAGUCGAACGAGCGAGAGAGAGCUUGCUUUCUCGAGCGAGUGGCGAACGGGUGAGUAACGCGUGAGGAACCUGCCUCAAAGAGGGGGACAACAGUUGGAAACGACUGCUAAUACCGCAUAAGCCCACAGGUCGGCAUCGACCAGAGGGAAAAGGAGCAAUCCGCUUUGAGAUGGCCUCGCGUCCGAUUAGCUGGUUGGUGAGGUAACGGCCCACCAAGGCGACGAUCGGUAGCCGGACUGAGAGGUUGAACGGCCACAUUGGGACUGAGACACGGCCCAGACUCCUACGGGAGGCAGCAGUGGGGAAUAUUGCACAAUGGGGGAAACCCUGAUGCAGCGACGCCGCGUGGAGGAAGAAGGUCUUCGGAUUGUAAACUCCUGUUGUUGAGGAAGAUAAUGACGGUACUCAACAAGGAAGUGACGGCUAACUACGUGCCAGCAGCCGCGGUAAAACGUAGGUCACAAGCGUUGUCCGGAAUUACUGGGUGUAAAGGGAGCGCAGGCGGGAAGACAAGUUGGAAGUGAAAUCUAUGGGCUCAACCCAUAAACUGCUUUCAAAACUGUUUUUCUUGAGUAGUGCAGAGGUAGGCGGAAUUCCCGGUGCAGCGGUGGAAUGCGUAGAUAUCGGGAGGAACACCAGUGGCGAAGGCGGCCUACUGGGCACCAACUGACGCUGAGGCUCGAAAGUGUGGGUAGCAAACA
Molecule: ribosomal RNA, 733 nt
Filed under: uncultured bacterium
Lineage: Bacteria
Description: bacterial SSU rRNA
Rfam family: Bacterial small subunit ribosomal RNA
Source: RNAcentral